RNAcentral lists this ribosomal RNA (251 nucleotides) under uncultured bacterium. RNAcentral describes it as "partial 16S ribosomal RNA". It matches the Rfam family "Bacterial small subunit ribosomal RNA", at positions 524 to 774 of the family's 1533-position model. The record is from RNAcentral.
UACGGAAGGUCCGGGCGUUAUCCGGAUUUAUUGGGUUUAAAGGGAGCGUAGGCCGGAGAUUAAGCGUGUUGUGAAAUGUAGACGCUCAACGUCUGCACUGCAGCGCGAACUGGUUUCCUUGAGUACGCACAAAGUGGGCGGAAUUCGUGGUGUAGCGGUGAAAUGCUUAGAUAUCACGAAGAACUCCGAUUGCGAAGGCAGCUCACUGGAGCGCAACUGACGCUGAAGCUCGAAAGUGCGGGUAUCGAACA